RNAcentral lists this ribosomal RNA (253 nucleotides) under uncultured bacterium. RNAcentral's name for it is "partial 16S ribosomal RNA". It matches the Rfam family "Bacterial small subunit ribosomal RNA", at positions 524 to 776 of the family's 1533-position model. The record is from RNAcentral.
UACGUAGGGCGCGAGCGUUGUCCGGAUUUCUUGGGCGUAAAGAGCUCGUAGGCGGCUUGUCGCGUCGACCGUGAAAACUCGCAGCUCAACUGCGAGCCUGCGGUCGAUACGGGCAGGCUAGAGUUCGGUAGGGGAGACUGGAAUUCCUGGUGUAGCGGUGAAAUGCGCAGAUAUCAGGAGGAACACCGAUGGCGAAGGCAGGUCUCUGGGCCGAUACUGACGCUGAGGAGCGAAAGCGUGGGGAGCGAACAGG